This 2047-nucleotide ribosomal RNA is filed under the name Plocamium sp. 2cartilagineumAsia. RNAcentral's name for it is "partial 28S ribosomal RNA". The record is from RNAcentral. Lineage: Eukaryota; Rhodophyta; Florideophyceae; Plocamiales; Plocamiaceae.
CGGAGGAAAAGAAAAUAACAAUGAUUCCCUCAGUAGCGGCGAGCGAAGCGGGAAAAGCCCAAAAUGAAAAGCCUGCUUGCAGGCGUUGUAUUUGAGCAGCCUUGGGGCGUCAGUGUAGGUAAGUCGCAUGGAAAUGCGUACCGUGGAGGGUGAAAGUCCCGUCCAACCUAUGCAGGACGUUCCGCACAAGGCUGUUUCAGUCGAGUCGGGUAGCUUGGGAAUGCUGCUCUAAUUGGUGGUAAAUCUCAUCAAAGGCUAAAUAACGGUGGGAGACCGAUAGUAAACAAGUACCGUGAGGGAAAGAUGACAAGCACUUUGAAAAGAGGGUGAAAAGAACCUGAAACCGUUACGGGGGAAGCGGAUUGCGUUGGAUUGAUGGGUGUUUGUGUGUUCAGCCAUGAACUUUGUUCUAGGUGCAUUGAUGCAAAUACUUAUCCGUCGUGGGUUUCUUGGCAACCGAAUUUGGGUUGCUAGAGGCUGAGGGCUCCCCUUUUUGGGUUGAGGACGGCGGAGUGACGACGCGAUACGACCCGUCUUGAAACACGGACCAAGGAGUCUAGCGCGGGUGCGAGUCGGAGGGUUUUAAAACCUGUGGGCGAAGUGAAAGCGAGUUUUGAUUCUAAAACUAGCAGUUUGAGGCGGCAUAGAAUCGUUGAUUCUAGGUCCGACCUGGAGCAGUUGCGCUGGGACCCGAAAGAUGGUGAACUAUGCCGGAGUAGGGCAAAGCCAGAAGAAAUUCUGGUGGAGGCUCGUAGCGGUGCUGACGUGCAAAUCGCUCGUCAAACUUGGGUAUAGGGGCGAAAGACUAAUCGAACCAUCUAGUAGCUGGUUCCCUCCGAAGUUUCUCUCAGGAUAGCGGGCCGACACGAGUUGUUUUGUGCGGUAAAGCGAAUGAUUAGCGCACUCGGGGACUAUAAGUCUUCGGGCGAUUCUCAAACUUUCAAUGCGCAAGGGUACCGGUGCUUAAUUGAGCGGUACCGAUAAAAACGUCGGCCCUGUGGGCCACUUUUGGUAAGCAGAACUGGCGAUACGGGAUGAACCGUAAGCAUGGUUAAGGCGCCUAAUUGCCCGCUUAUAGAUCCCACAAAAGGUGUUGAUUCAUCGAGACAGCAGGACGGUGGCCAUGGAAGUCGGAAUCCGCUAAGGAGUGUGUAAAAACUCACCUGCCGAAUGAAUUAGCCCUGAAAAUGGAUGGCGCUGAAGCGGGUAGCCGACACCAUGCCGUCUGGGCAAUUUUUUUUCAAAGACUGAUUUCAGAUGAGUAGGAGGGCGUGGUGGCCGUGUCGAAGCUUGCGUGCAGACGCAUGUGGAACGGCCACUAGUGCAGAUCUUGGUGGUAGUAGCAAAUAUUCAAGCGAGAUCCUUGAAGGGCGAAGCGGGGAAGGGUUCCACGCGAACAUUGAUUGGGCGUGGGUGAGUCGUUCCUAAGCCGAGUGGCGAUUGCUAAGUAGCGGCGAAAGGGAAGCGGGUUGACAUUCCCGCACACGGAUGUGGAGGCGGUGACGCUUUUAUUGCGGCGAACACGCUGGCGGUGGCGCUGGGCAGAGUUUUCUUUUCUGUUUGACCGCUUUAUGCGCGUGGUGUGGAAUCCGCUUGUCGGGAGAAACACACGCGUACGGGCAGAGCGCCGGGCUUUAUCCGGCGUCCAGCUCGCCACCGACGGCCCUUGAAACUUUGCCUGCUGAUUUAAAAUCCACGCCGUGGCGUACCGAUCACCGCAUCAGGUCCCCAAGGUGAACAGCCUCUGCUCCAUAUGAACAAUGCAGGUAAGGGAAGUCGGCAAAUUGGACCCGUAACUUUGGGAAAAGGGUUGGCUCUAGUGCUGCGUGGGAGUGGUUGUCUGGUUUCGUCGUUGAUUGGGGUGGCCCCCAGAGGUGCUCGAGGUCUGGCCUCACGGCCUGCUUUGGGUGCUUYAGGAGCUCCUCGGUUACGGCGCGCUAGACGACGCCCACAGCAUGCAGCAAACUAGAACUGCAACGGGCAAAGGGAAUCCGACUGUUUAAUUAAAACAAAGCAUUGCGAAGGCCGUGGCCGGUGAUGACGCAAU